AACAAGGUUUCCGUAGGUGAACCUGCGGAAGGAUCAUUAAUGGGUUCAUGGCCUCCGGGCCGCAAUCCCCACCCUUCGCAACCGCGGCCACGAUUCGGCGCAAGGGCGGGACUCCCUCUGUUCGCGGAGGGGCCCCGUCCGCCGGAAUCACGCAACCCUGCCUGAAAAAUACAGUCUGAGAAAAAUGAAAAAUUAGCGAAAACUUUCAACAACGGAUCUCUUGGUUCUGGCAACGAUGAAGAACGCAGCGAAAUGCGAUAAGUAAUGUGAAUUGCAGAAUUCAGUGAAUCAUCGAAUCUUUGAACGCACAUUGCGCCCCCUGGUAUUCCGGGGGGCACACCUGUUCGAGCGCCAUUUCAACCCUCGAGCCCUGCUCGGUGAUGGGCGACGCCUUAACUUACUAGGCGCGCCCGAAACUCGUUGGCGCCGUCGUCCGGCCCUGAGCGUAGCAAGAGAAAUCCCUCGCUCGGUGGACCGUCCGGCGGCCGCCCCGACCACUUUCACAAGGUUGGCCUCGGAUCAGGUGGGAAUACCCGCUGAACUUAAGCAUAUCAAUAAGCGGAGGAAAAGAAACCAACAGGGAUUGCCUCAGUAACGGCGAGUGAAGCGGCAACAGCUCAAAUUUGAAAUCUGGCUCCUUUGGCGCCCGAGUUGUAAUUUGUAGAGGAUGCUUCGGGUGAAGCCGCGGUCCAAGUCCCUUGGAACAGGACGUCAGAGAGGGUGAGAACCCCGUACCUGGCCGCCGGUGCCCCCCGCUGUGAAGCUCCUUCGACGAGUCGAGUUGUUUGGGAAUGCAGCUCUAAAUUGGUGGUAAAUUCCAUCUAAAGCUAAAUACCGGCCAGAGACCGAUAGCGCACAAGUAGAGUGAUCGAAAGAUGAAAAGCACUUUGAAAAGAGAGUUAAAAAGUACGUGAAAUUGUUGAAAGGGAAGCGCUUGCGGCCAGACUUGCCCGCGGAUGCUCAGCCCGCCCUCUGGCGGGUGCACUCUUCCGCGGUCAGGCCAGCAUCGGUUUGGGCGGUCGGACAAAGGCGCCGGGAACGUAGCCCCCCUCGGGGGGUGUUAUAGCCCGGCGUGCAAUGCGACCAGCCCGGACCGAGGUUCGCGCUCUGCUAGGAUGCUGGCGUAAUGGCCGUAAGCGGCC
Molecule: ribosomal RNA, 1142 nt
Filed under: uncultured fungus
Lineage: Eukaryota; Fungi
Description: eukaryotic LSU rRNA
Rfam family: Eukaryotic large subunit ribosomal RNA (bases 510-1142)
Source: RNAcentral